GAUGAACGCUAGCUACAGGCUUAACACAUGCAAGUCGCAGGGUAACAUGAGGAAAGCUUGCUUUCCUUGAUGACGACUGGCGCACGGGUGAGUAACGCGUAUCCAACCUUCCCAUAACUACGGGAUAACCCGUUGAAAGACGGCCUAAUACCGUAUGACAUCGUUUGCUGACAUCAAAUAACGAUUAAAGGUUUAGCGGUUAUGGAUGGGGAUGCGUCUGAUUAGCUUGUUGGCGGGGUAACAGCCCACCAAGGCGACGAUCAGUAGGGGUUCUGAGAGGAAGGUCCCCCACAUUGGAACUGAGACACGGUCCAAACUCCUACGGGAGGCAGCAGUGAGGAAUAUUGGUCAAUGGGCGAGAGCCUGAACCAGCCAAGUAGCGUGCAGGAUGACGGCCCUAUGGGUUGUAAACUGCUUUUAUGUGGGGAUAAAGUGCGUGACGUGUCAUGCAUUGCAGGUACCACAUGAAUAAGGACCGGCUAAUUCCGUG
This 490-nucleotide ribosomal RNA is filed under the name uncultured bacterium. RNAcentral describes it as "partial 16S ribosomal RNA". It matches the Rfam family "Bacterial small subunit ribosomal RNA", at positions 28 to 507 of the family's 1533-position model. The record is from RNAcentral.